This 469-nucleotide ribosomal RNA is filed under the name uncultured bacterium. RNAcentral describes it as "partial 16S ribosomal RNA". It matches the Rfam family "Bacterial small subunit ribosomal RNA", at positions 27 to 507 of the family's 1533-position model. The record is from RNAcentral.
GGACGUACGCUGGCGGCGUGCUUAACACAUGCAAGUCGAACGGAAAGGCCCUGCUUUUGUGGGGUGCUCGAGUGGCGAACGGGUGAGUAACACGUGAGUAACCUGCCCUUGACUUUGGGAUAACUUCAGGAAACUGGGGCUAAUACCGGAUAGGAGCUCCUGCUGCAUGGUGGGGGUUGGAAAGUUUCGGCGGUUGGGGAUGGACUCGCGGCUUAUCAGCUUGUUGGUGGGGUAGUGGCUUACCAAGGCUUUGACGGGUAGCCGGCCUGAGAGGGUGACCGGCCACAUUGGGACUGAGAUACGGCCCAGACUCCUACGGGAGGCAGCAGUGGGGAAUAUUGCACAAUGGGCGGAAGCCUGAUGCAGCAACGCCGCGUGCGGGAUGACGGCCUUCGGGUUGUAAACCGCUUUCGCCUGUGACGAAGCGUGAGUGACGGUAAUGGGUAAAGAAGCACCGGCUAACUACGUG